UUGAAUUGUUUGUUUGAAUUGGCUUAAAACCCCAAUUCAACAACACAUAUCCAUAACACCUGUGCACUGUUGGAUGAGCAAACUCGCAAGAGCAAGCAAGUCCACUUUUACACCAAACAAUUUGUAACAAAUGUAGUCUUAUUAUAACAAUAAUA
This 155-nucleotide unclassified non-coding RNA is filed under the name uncultured Cryptococcus. RNAcentral describes it as "sequence contains ITS1". The record is from RNAcentral. Lineage: Eukaryota; Fungi; Basidiomycota; Tremellomycetes.